RNAcentral lists this long non-coding RNA (216 nucleotides) under Mytilus galloprovincialis (Mediterranean mussel). Lineage: Eukaryota; Metazoa; Mollusca; Bivalvia; Mytilida; Mytilidae. The record is from RNAcentral.
GGGUUACCCCUACCCCGCUCAAUUUGAGAAUGUUCUAUUAUCUUGUAAACGGUCCAGAUCCCCACCCCUAAACCAUAUAUAUUCUUGUAGGGGACACUAAAAUAAAUGAAAUGAAAUAAAAGGGAAGUCCCUAGGUGGUCACCCCACCCACUCUUGUUUGAAAACUUGUAAACGGUCAAGAUCCCCACCCCUAAACCAUAUAUAUUCUUUUUUAGG